UACGAAGGGGGCUAGCGUUGUUCGGAAUUACUGGGCGUAAAGCGCGCGUAGGCGGUGAUCCAUGUCAGAGGUGAAAGCCCGGGGCUCAACUCCGGAAUUGCCUUUGAAACGGGAUCGCUAGAGUCCGAGAGAGGAUGGCGGAAUUCCUAGUGUAGAGGUGAAAUUCGUAGAUAUUAGGAAGAACACCGGUGGCGAAGGCGGCCAUCAGGCUCGGUACUGACGCUCAGGCGCGAAAGCGUGGGGAGCAAACAGG
This 253-nucleotide ribosomal RNA is filed under the name uncultured bacterium. RNAcentral describes it as "partial 16S ribosomal RNA". It matches the Rfam family "Bacterial small subunit ribosomal RNA", at positions 524 to 776 of the family's 1533-position model. The record is from RNAcentral.